CGCGUAGGCGGUCUGUUAAGUCAGAAGUGAAAUCUCCAGGGCUCAACCCGGAAACUGCUUUUGAUACUGAUAGACUUGAGUGUCGGAGAGGUAACUGGAAUUCCUGGUGUAGCGGUGACAUGCAUUGAUAUCAGGAGGAACACCCAUGGCGAAGGCAGGUUACUGGCCGACAACUGACGCUGAGGCGCGAAAGCGUGGGUAGCAAACAGAAUUAGAUACUCUGGUAGUCCACGCCCUAAACGAUGGAUACUAGACGUCAGGGGUAUCGACCCCUCUGGUGUCGCAGCUAACGCAAUAAGUAUCCCGCCUGGGGACUACGGCCGCAAGGUUGAA
This 333-nucleotide ribosomal RNA is filed under the name uncultured bacterium. Its description in RNAcentral is "bacterial SSU rRNA". It matches the Rfam family "Bacterial small subunit ribosomal RNA", at positions 568 to 898 of the family's 1533-position model. The record is from RNAcentral.